This 407-nucleotide ribosomal RNA is filed under the name uncultured bacterium. Its description in RNAcentral is "partial 16S ribosomal RNA". It matches the Rfam family "Bacterial small subunit ribosomal RNA", at positions 30 to 526 of the family's 1533-position model. The record is from RNAcentral.
AUUGAACGCUGGCGGCAGGCCUAACACAUGCAAGUCGAGCGGAGCGGCGGACGGGUGAGUAAUGCCUAGGAACCUGCCUGGUGGUGGGGGAUAACGUCCGGAAACGGGCGCUAAUACCGCAUACUAUCAGAUGAGCCUAGGUCGGCUUAGCUAGUUGGUGGGGUAAAGGCCUACAAAGGCGACGAUCCGUAACGGGCCUGAGAGGAUGAUCAGUCACACUGGAACUAAGACACGGUCCAGACUCCUACGGGAGGCAGCAGUGGGGAAUAUUGGACAAUGGGCGAAAGCCUGAUCCAGCCAUGCCGCGUGUGUGAAGAAGGUCUUCGGAUUGUAAAGCUCUGUAAGUUGGGAGGCGUUACCAACAGAAUAAGCACCGGCUAACUUCGUGCCAGCAGCCGCGGUAAUUC